RNAcentral lists this ribosomal RNA (458 nucleotides) under uncultured Rhodocyclaceae bacterium. RNAcentral's name for it is "bacterial SSU rRNA". It matches the Rfam family "Bacterial small subunit ribosomal RNA", at positions 924 to 1382 of the family's 1533-position model. The record is from RNAcentral. Lineage: Bacteria; Pseudomonadati; Pseudomonadota; Betaproteobacteria; Rhodocyclales; Rhodocyclaceae.
CACAAGCGGUGGAUGAUGUGGAUUAAUUCGAUGCAACGCGAAAACCUUACCUACCUUGACAUGUCCGGAAUCCCGAAGAGAGUUUGGGAGUGCUCGCAAGAGAACCGGAACACAGGUGCUGCAUGGCUGUCGUCAGCUCGUGUCGUGAGAUGUUGGGUUAAGUCCCGCAACGAGCGCAACCCUUGUCAUUAGUUGCCAUCAUUUGGUUGGGCACUCUAAUGAGACUGCCGGUGACAAACCGGAGGAAGGUGGGGAUGACGUCAAGUCCUCAUGGCCCUUAUGGGUAGGGCUUCACACGUCAUACAAUGGUCGGUACAGAGGGUUGCCAACCCGCGAGGGGGAGCUAAUCCCACAAAGCCGAUCGUAGUCCGGAUCGCAGUCUGCAACUCGACUGCGUGAAGUCGGAAUCGCUAGUAAUCGUGGAUCAGCAUGUCACGGUGAAUACGUUCCCGGGUCUU